UACGUAGGGGGCAAGCGUUGUCCGGAAUUAUUGGGCGUAAAGAGCGUGUAGGCGGUCCGGUAAGUCGGCUGUGAAAGUCCAGGGCUCAACCCUGGGAUGCCGGUCGAUACUGCCGGACUAGAGUUCGGAAGAGGCGAGUGGAAUUCCCGGUGUAGCGGUGAAAUGCGCAGAUAUCGGGAGGAACACCCAUGGCGAAGGCAGCUCGCUGGGACGUUACUGACGCUGAGACGCGAAAGCGUGGGGAGCAAACAGG
This 253-nucleotide ribosomal RNA is filed under the name uncultured bacterium. RNAcentral's name for it is "partial 16S ribosomal RNA". It matches the Rfam family "Bacterial small subunit ribosomal RNA", at positions 524 to 776 of the family's 1533-position model. The record is from RNAcentral.